Molecule: ribosomal RNA, 775 nt
Filed under: uncultured Neocallimastigales
Lineage: Eukaryota; Fungi; Neocallimastigomycota; Neocallimastigomycetes; Neocallimastigales
Description: partial large subunit ribosomal RNA
Rfam family: Eukaryotic large subunit ribosomal RNA
Source: RNAcentral
ACACGCAUGACACACUGCAUAUCAAUAAGCGGAGGAAAAGAAACUAACAAGGAUUCCCCUAGUAACGGCGAGUGAAGCGGGAGGAGCUCAAAUUUGAAAUCUUAAAGGGUUUCCCUUUACGAAUUGUAGUUUAAAGAAGUGUUUUCUGUUGGAGUUUCGGUAAAAGUUCUUUGGAAUAGGACAUCAUAGAGGGUGAGAAUCCCGUAUUUGACCGUUACUUUCCAGCUGUGUGAUACACUUUCAAAGAGUCGGAUUGUUUGGGAAUGCAGUCCAAAAUGGGUGGUAAAUUUCAUCUAAAGCUAAAUAUCGGCGAGAGACCGAUAGCGAACAAGUACCGUGAGGGAAAGAUGAAAAGAACUUUGAAAAGAGAGUUAAACAGUACGUGAAAUUGUCAAAAGGGAAGCGUUUGACACCAGUGUUGUUUAGUUGAAAAUCAAUUCAAUAAUUUUUGAUUUUGAGUAGUAUUGACUUCAUCAGCUUGCUGCUUUCUUUUCGGAAAUUAUUGAAUGCACUUUUCAGUUAACAAGUCAACAUCAAUUUCUUUUGUUGUAAAAGGGUAAGAGGAAGGUGGCUUACGCUUCGGCGUAAGUGUUUAUAGCCUUUUACCUCUGCAAUCGGAGAGAUUGAGGACAGCAGCGUAGACUCUUCGGGGUUAGAUACACUUGUGCUAAGCUAUAGCCCUGUAUAGACAACUUGUUGACUAUGCUCAGUCAUGUAGCUUACUCGCAUGUGCUAUUUUACCUACGCUUAGGAUGUUGACUGAUAUGUAGUCGUA